CCCUUAGAUGUUCUGGGCCGCACGCGCGCUACAAUGAUGAAUUCAACGAGUUUAUGACCUUGGUUGAAAAGCCUGGGUAAUCUUUUGAACUUUCGUCGUGAUGGGGCUAGACCCUUGCAAUUAUUGGUCUCCAACGAGGAAUUCCUAGUAAACGCAAGUCAUCAGCUUGCAUUGAUUACGUCCCUGCCCUUUGUACACACCGCCCGUCGCACCUACCGAUUGAAUGGUCCGGUGAAAUCUUCGGAUUGAGACUUUGAUUUCUUCACGGAAAACGCUGUUUUAAAAAGUUGAUUAAACCUUACCAUUUAGAGGAAGGUGAAGUCGUAACA
RNAcentral lists this ribosomal RNA (329 nucleotides) under uncultured eukaryote. Its description in RNAcentral is "partial 18S ribosomal RNA". It matches the Rfam family "Eukaryotic small subunit ribosomal RNA", at positions 1470 to 1796 of the family's 1831-position model. The record is from RNAcentral.